RNAcentral lists this unclassified non-coding RNA (626 nucleotides) under Hevea brasiliensis (rubber tree). The record is from RNAcentral. Lineage: Eukaryota; Viridiplantae; Streptophyta; Magnoliopsida; Malpighiales; Euphorbiaceae.
UUUCAUUAUUACAUCCAUUCUAGAAAACAAAGUAAAAGGACAAGCAGAAACUCUAUGCAAUUUAUAUUCAUUUCAACUAUUUCAAUUAGUAUGUACUAUAAAAUUUCAGUAAUUACAAUUAGAAAAGAAUGACAAGUAUUGUAAGAAACCAUCGUCAAUAGAUGAUGAGGUUGAACAAAGAGGAAAAACAUGUGACGAGACUGGACAGGAGGGCCAAAAUCUCACCUGAAGCAACCUCCUCACCCAACAGAAGCUGAAUCCUGCUCCAUCAUUUUCCCAUCCUGUCCAUUUCUGUCGUAAAAAGUUUCAAUAUCGUAAGCAUCUUAACAUGCUCAAUAUCUAAUUCACCAAGGAUUUAACAUACACAAUGCAUCAUCUUUACAGAUUGACGCCUUCCCCUGCUAUCAACGACAGUCUGAUAUAUUUUGGGCAAAACCUGAUUCUACCAACCUCACUCUAAUCAUUUAGAAAAUUUCAACCAAGUUCAAUACCUUUUUCUCUUGCAGCUUGUAAAAUGGAAAUAUCCCCUUCUCUCGUCAUGGGUAAGUUAUAAUAGCAAUUCCAUAACUUCAUGGAGAAUGGAUAUACAGAUAAAGCUCUCUUGUAAAAUCUCUCAGAAAUUAACU